This 253-nucleotide ribosomal RNA is filed under the name uncultured bacterium. Its description in RNAcentral is "partial 16S ribosomal RNA". It matches the Rfam family "Bacterial small subunit ribosomal RNA", at positions 524 to 776 of the family's 1533-position model. The record is from RNAcentral.
UACGUAGGUGGCAAGCGUUGUCCGGAUUUACUGGGCGUAAAGCGCGUGUAGGCGGCUUUGCAAGUCGGAUGUGAAAGCCCACGGCUCAACCGUGGAAGUGCAUCCGAAACUGCAUGGCUGGAGUCUCGGAGAGGAAGGUGGAAUGCUUGGUGUAGAGGUGAAAUUCGUAGAUAUCAAGCAGAACACCUGCGGCGAAGGCGGCCUUCUGGACGAUGACUGACGCUGAGACGCGAAAGCGUGGGGAGCAAACAGG